Molecule: transfer RNA, 91 nt
Filed under: Gammaproteobacteria bacterium
Lineage: Bacteria; Pseudomonadati; Pseudomonadota; Gammaproteobacteria
Also listed under: 3 other names
Description: tRNA-Ser
Rfam family: tRNA
About the family: Transfer RNA (tRNA) molecules are approximately 80 nucleotides in length. Their secondary structure includes four short double-helical elements and three loops (D, anti-codon, and T loops). Further hydrogen bonds mediate the characteristic L-shaped molecular structure. tRNAs have two regions of fundamental functional importance: the anti-codon, which is responsible for specific mRNA codon recognition, and the 3' end, to which the tRNAs corresponding amino acid is attached (by aminoacyl-tRNA synthetases). tRNAs cope with the degeneracy of the genetic code in two manners: having more than one tRNA (with a specific anti-codon) for a particular amino acid; and 'wobble' base-pairing, i.e. permitting non-standard base-pairing at the 3rd anti-codon position.
Source: RNAcentral
GGAAGGGUGGCUGAGCGGUUGAAAGCACCAGUCUUGAAAACUGGCAAGGGUUUAUAGCCCUUCGUGGGUUCAAAUCCCACCUCUUCCGCCA